UACGAAGGGGGCUAGCGUUGCUCGGAAUCACUGGGCGUAAAGGGUGCGUAGGCGGGUCUUUAAGUCAGGGGUGAAAUCCUGGAGCUCAACUCCAGAACUGCCUUUGAUACUGAAGAUCUUGAGUUCGGGAGAGGUGAGUGGAACUGCGAGUGUAGAGGUGAAAUUCGUAGAUAUCGGAAGGAACGCCGGUGGCGAAAGCGAGCUGCUGGAUCCCUCCUGACGCUGAGGCGCGAAAGCCAGGGGAGCGAACGGG
Molecule: ribosomal RNA, 253 nt
Filed under: uncultured bacterium
Lineage: Bacteria
Description: partial 16S ribosomal RNA
Rfam family: Bacterial small subunit ribosomal RNA
Source: RNAcentral